This 491-nucleotide ribosomal RNA is filed under the name uncultured bacterium. Its description in RNAcentral is "partial 16S ribosomal RNA". It matches the Rfam family "Bacterial small subunit ribosomal RNA", at positions 29 to 506 of the family's 1533-position model. The record is from RNAcentral.
AGUGAACGCUGGCGGUAGGCCUAACACAUGCAAGUCGAACGGCAGCACAGUAAGAGCUUGCUCUUACGGGUGGCGAGUGGCGGACGGGUGAGGAAUACAUCGGAAUCUACUUUUUCGUGGGGGAUAACGUAGGGAAACUUACGCUAAUACCGCAUACGACCUACGGGUGAAAGCAGGGGAUCUUCGGACCUUGCGCGAUUGAAUGAGCCGAUGUCGGAUUAGCUAGUUGGCGGGGUAAAGGCCCACCAAGGCGACGAUCCGUAGCUGGUCUGAGAGGAUGAUCAGCCACACUGGAACUGAGACACGGUCCAGACUCCUACGGGAGGCAGCAGUGGGGAAUAUUGGACAAUGGGCGCAAGCCUGAUCCAGCCAUACCGCGUGGGUGAAGAAGGCCUUCGGGUUGUAAGGCCCUUUUGUUGGGAAAGAAAAGCAGCAGGUUAAGACCCCGCUGUUCUGACGGUACCCAAAGAAUAAGCACCGGCUAACUUCGU